UACGGAGGGGGCGAGCGUUAUUCGGAAUUAUUGGGCGUAAAGGGCGCGUAGGCGGCCAUGCAAGUCAGGGGUGAAAUCCCUCGGCUCAACCGAGGAACUGCCUCUGAAACUGCAUGGCUUGAGGCCGGGAGAGGGUGGUGGAAUUCCUAGUGUAGCGGUGAAAUGCGUAGAUAUUAGGAGGAACACCAGUGGCGAAGGCGACCACCUGGACCGGAUCUGACGCUGAGGCGCGAAAGUGUGGGGAGCAAACAGG
Molecule: unclassified non-coding RNA, 253 nt
Filed under: uncultured Acidobacteriota bacterium
Lineage: Bacteria; Pseudomonadati; Acidobacteriota
Description: uncultured Acidobacteria bacterium contains 16S-23S intergenic spacer region
Rfam family: Bacterial small subunit ribosomal RNA
Source: RNAcentral